AAAAAUGUGGGCUACUUCUCUCCUGGAGCUGUCUGAAGGAAGUCCUUCUAUGUAGAGGGUGUUAGAAGCAUCAGGAGGGAGAGAUAGCGUUUCACGAGGCCUCGGCAUAGGUUCAACUGGCAGUUGGCCACUAAAUACCAUAGCUCUUCCAUUUGGUGCUAGCUCUGGCCCACGAGCUGAUGGAAGCGGAUCACGAACAGGAAGGGUAGGUAUACCACCACCACCUGCUCUAACUAAUCCAACACCCUUGUAGUUGUUAUUAGCUUCUCCGACUGGAAGAGAAGAAAGUUGCGAACUUUGGAGAUAACG
Molecule: unclassified non-coding RNA, 309 nt
Filed under: Hevea brasiliensis (rubber tree)
Lineage: Eukaryota; Viridiplantae; Streptophyta; Magnoliopsida; Malpighiales; Euphorbiaceae
Source: RNAcentral